This 1368-nucleotide ribosomal RNA is filed under the name Bacillus sp. (in: firmicutes). RNAcentral describes it as "bacterial SSU rRNA". It matches the Rfam family "Bacterial small subunit ribosomal RNA", at positions 70 to 1424 of the family's 1533-position model. The record is from RNAcentral. Lineage: Bacteria; Bacillati; Bacillota; Bacilli; Caryophanales; Bacillaceae.
AGAAGGGAGCUUGCUCCCGGAUGUUAGCGGCGGACGGGUGAGUAACACGUGGGUAACCUGCCUGUAAGACUGGGAUAACUCCGGGAAACCGGAGCUAAUACCGGAUAGUUCCUUGAACCGCAUGGUUCAAGGAUGAAAGACGGUUUCGGCUGUCACUUACAGAUGGACCCGCGGCGCAUUAGCUAGUUGGUGAGGUAACGGCUCACCAAGGCGACGAUGCGUAGCCGACCUGAGAGGGUGAUCGGCCACACUGGGACUGAGACACGGCCCAGACUCCUACGGGAGGCAGCAGUAGGGAAUCUUCCGCAAUGGACGAAAGUCUGACGGAGCAACGCCGCGUGAGUGAUGAAGGUUUUCGGAUCGUAAAGCUCUGUUGUUAGGGAAGAACAAGUGCAAGAGUAACUGCUUGCACCUUGACGGUACCUAACCAGAAAGCCACGGCUAACUACGUGCCAGCAGCCGCGGUAAUACGUAGGUGGCAAGCGUUGUCCGGAAUUAUUGGGCGUAAAGGGCUCGCAGGCGGUUUCUUAAGUCUGAUGUGAAAGCCCCCGGCUCAACCGGGGAGGGUCAUUGGAAACUGGGAAACUUGAGUGCAGAAGAGGAGAGUGGAAUUCCACGUGUAGCGGUGAAAUGCGUAGAGAUGUGGAGGAACACCAGUGGCGAAGGCGACUCUCUGGUCUGUAACUGACGCUGAGGAGCGAAAGCGUGGGGAGCGAACAGGAUUAGAUACCCUGGUAGUCCACGCCGUAAACGAUGAGUGCUAAGUGUUAGGGGGUUUCCGCCCCUUAGUGCUGCAGCUAACGCAUUAAGCACUCCGCCUGGGGAGUACGGUCGCAAGACUGAAACUCAAAGGAAUUGACGGGGGCCCGCACAAGCGGUGGAGCAUGUGGUUUAAUUCGAAGCAACGCGAAGAACCUUACCAGGUCUUGACAUCCUCUGACAACCCUAGAGAUAGGGCUUUCCCUUCGGGGACAGAGUGACAGGUGGUGCAUGGUUGUCGUCAGCUCGUGUCGUGAGAUGUUGGGUUAAGUCCCGCAACGAGCGCAACCCUUGAUCUUAGUUGCCAGCAUUCAGUUGGGCACUCUAAGGUGACUGCCGGUGACAAACCGGAAGAAGGUGGGGAUGACGUCAAAUCAUCAUGCCCCUUAUGACCUGGGCUACACACGUGCUACAAUGGACAGAACAAAGGGCUGCGAGACCGCAAGGUUUAGCCAAUCCCACAAAUCUGUUCUCAGUUCGGAUCGCAUUCUGCAACUCGACUGCGUGAAGCUGGAAUCGCUAGUAAUCGCGGAUCACCAUGCCGCGGUGAAUACGUUCCCGGGCCUUGUACACACCGCCCGUCACACCACGAGAGUUUGCAACACCCGA